RNAcentral lists this long non-coding RNA (1327 nucleotides) under Homo sapiens (human). RNAcentral's name for it is "HSALNT0010876". Lineage: Eukaryota; Metazoa; Chordata; Mammalia; Primates; Hominidae. The record is from RNAcentral.
AAAGAAGUGGGUGGUGUUGGCUCUGCACAUUGGAGGAAGAAAUGCACAGAGCCAGAGAAGACUUGAGCAGGGCUGGAGGCUGACAGGAAGGAGUUACUGCAGCUGGGAGAGAGGAAUGGGCUUACUGAUGGAGCACCAACCUGCUGGAGGUCAACCGUCAACUGCUGAAUCCAUAACAGUCGGGUUCUCUGUUGCCAGAGAGGUUUUAGCUUUGGAAAGAAAUGGGGCACUGUGUUCUCAGAAACAGCAGAGGGGGCUAAGAAGAAAGAGUGUGUUUUGAGGGGAGAACAGGGAAAUCGAGAGUGAAACUGUCCUUCCCACCAUCUCUUAGAGUGAGAGAGCCAGGUAGGGCUGUUGUCCUUAGACAGUGUAAAAGUUUUGAAAAGGCAGCAGAAAGUCAAAAGAGAUGACCCCAAGGAAAUGAGGAAGGUGCUUGAACACAGAACAUCUCACUUAACUCUUAGCACAAUCCUUAAGAGCCAAAUGUGUGAUCCCCCUCCAGAAAAGACUUGAGUCUUUACAGUUGGAAUUUCCGUGUCGUGAGUGACAGGAUCUUGGUCCAUCACCCAGGCUGGAAUACAGUGGUGCAAUUAUAGUUCACUGCGGCCUCAAAUUCCUGCACUCAACAGAUCCUCCCACCUCAGCCUCGCAACUGGCUGGGACUACAGGGAUGCACCACCACACCUGGCUAAUUUUUAACUCUUUCGUAGGAAUGAGGUCUUGCUGUGUUGCCCAGGCUGGUCUCGAACUCUGGGGGUCAAGAGAUCCUCCCAUCUCGGCCUUCCAAAGUGUUGGGAUUACAGGCACGCACCACCACACCUGGCUACAUGCCUAAUUUAACAUGAGCUAGAGUUAGGUUUGGCCAUCCCUAGUGUUCAGUGGAGUUGUAGAGUUAGUCUCAAAUGCCAGAGUGAAAGUCCUUGCCUAUCACUCCCUCAUGGGGUAACCAUGGUGGAGCUGCCCAAUUUCCUCAUCUCAGAAGUGAAUAUAAUAGCUUCUACCUCAUAGGGUUGUUGUGAGAAUUGCAUGAGGAAACCAUGGAAAGGAAUUCAUAGAGUACUUAGAAAGGCAGUAAGUACAGGGACAGAUUUGGGUUUCAUGGGACUUGAAGACUACACAACUUCGGAAGCCCUCUUUAAUGAAAAGAAGAUAAAUCUUACUUUUGCAAGUUUUAUAUGAAUAUGUGACUAUGUGAACACAUUGCUCAGGUCCUCCCCUCGCCCGCACACAAGGUCUAGAAAAAGGCUUAUUAAAGUGAGACAUCCUGAAGCUUAAGCGUCACCAGCUUCAAGUUCAACCCACCUCUGAAUAAAUGCUUCAAAUAAAU